AUUUAAAAAAUUUUUUUUUUUUUGUGCUAACUUUUUAUUUUUGAAUUAGUAUGCAAGAAUGGCAAAUCUGUAUAUUCCUCAUGUAACUGAAUUAUCUGUAUGUUUUUACACAUGAUAUAGUAAACAUUGCACAUUGUAUUUUUAAUAUACUUUUCAGUUAAUAUAUAAUUAUAUCAUUUGGUUUAAAUACAGUAGAACAUUUAUAUAACAAAUGCUCUCAGGGACACAGCCAGAUUCUUUUUUUCAAUUUAUAAAAAAAAAACAAAUGGUUAUUAGCCCAAAAGAUAUUUGAACUGGUUAAGAGAUGUUUUUAUUUGAAAAAAAAAACAACAACUUUA
This is a non-coding RNA of Biomphalaria pfeifferi, 338 nucleotides long. NCBI's taxonomy places the organism in Eukaryota, Metazoa, Mollusca, Gastropoda, Planorbidae. The record is from the annotation of a GenBank genome assembly.